UGUGUAUCGGUAUAUAUAUGUGUAGAUGUUCUCUGUGUGUCAGUAUAUAUAUAUAUAUAUACACACAUACAUACAUAUAUAUAUAAUGAACUGAAAAAUUCUAGUAGUCCAGAACCUACAAUGGAAACCAGAGAGAGGCUUCCAGAAGCAGUCAUCGCAUCUCUUGAGCACCUACUAUGUGCCAGGCCCUGGGAUCUCCAGCGAGGCUCACAGCACCUGCCCGGUGGAUCUGAGGAUCCCCUUGCACAGACGUGGAAGUGAAACUUUGCCAACUUCUCACCCAGGUUGUCGCUGAGUAAGAAUGCGUCACAGUUAGAAUGGUGCUGAGUACAUAAAAGGCUGAUCAAGGAAUGCAUCCCUUAUCCUGAAUCUGCGCACUGUGGAAGAUCCGGUGUCCUGGUGGCUUUGGCUACAAUGAUGCUGAACAAAACCAAAACCUGCUCUGGGACCAACUGUGAGAACUCUUCCUGCGGGCACAGCCCCGGUCCCUUCCUGCGAUGCGACACAAGCGCAGUCCACCUGGGGCCUGCAGGCUGAGGGUCUCGGAAACGUGCAAGAAUUUCCACAUUUCCAUGUCCACAAAGGCUCCGGGAGGCUCACACUGGAGCAAACCCAUUGAGUUGAAAAGGAUUCUCAAUCGCAGAAAAACAAAACAUAGGCAAGUCUAAGACGUGGGGCUUCUGUGCUCACACCCAAAGGAUAAGAAACUGCCCAGAAAGGAAGGGGCUAGGGACACCUGCACCUCAUUUCAGAGUGCCAGCAGUGGAGUGCCACCUCUACUUCCCACCCUGGGAGGCAGCAGGGGAUGGCUCAAGUCCUUGGGCUCCUGCCACCCACAUGAGAGACCUGGAUGGAGUUCCUGGCUUGUGGCUUCCAUUUGGUGCAGCCCUAGCCAUGCAGGUAUUUGAGUGAGCCAGAAGAUGGAAGAUUCUGUGUGUGUGUGUGCGUGUGCACGUUACUCUGUUUCAAAAAAAUAAUACAGAUAAAUAAAACUUAAAAGGAAGAGUUGGAUAUAGGGCUUGCUAAGACUUCACAUGGCCACCAGAGGGCAGCAAAGACAUUGGUCAUAGAAGGCAGAGACCUAGUGCAGCUCUUCCAGUCCAGUGCAGGAGUUGGGCAGGAAAAGUAAGGAAAAGUGAGGAAAAGAAAGAAAGGACCCCCCACCCCCACCCAACUCAGGGAGCAUCACCUACACCUGGAAUCCCAGCCAUUUUUAAAAGGAUGAGUUUUGAACCUGUUCUUCAGAUCCUGUAACUUACGAGUUAGUUGUCAGAAAUUUAGAAGGACAGAAUUUAUGAAUCAAACCAUUAUCACCUGACCACACCCAGAACUGCUGGCUAACAUUUCAGUGACUGCUCUUUGGGAAAGAAGGUAGAAAUAGAUGUACAAGCCAGGACUGUGGCGUAGCAGAUAGAACUGCCACCUGCAACGCUGGCAUCCCAUGUGGGUGCCAGUUCAAGUCCCCGCUGCUCCACUUCUGAUCCAGCUCCCUGCUAAUGUACCCGGGAAAGCAGUGGAAGAUGGUCCUAGUGCUUGGGCCCCUGCACCCACGUGGGAGACUUGGAAAAACUCCUGGUUGCAGCCAUUUGGUGAGUGAACCAGCGGAUGGAAGAUUCUCUCUAACUGUGCCUCUCAAAUAAAUAAAAAUAAAUCUUUUUUUUUAAAGAAAUAGAUUUAGAUUAGAUACAGAUACACAUGUAACAUAGUCUGAUUUGAAAAAAUUGACACAUGUCAGUAUAUAUAGGUCUCCCACGUGGGUGACAGGAACCCAACCACUUGAGCCGUGUCCUGCUGCCUCCCAGGCUGUGCAUCAGCAGGAAGCUGGAUUUGGGAGCAGAGCUGGGACUUGUACUGAUUCGGAUGCGCGCAUCCUAACCUCUAGGUCAAACGUGUGCCCUGGCCCCUCAUACACCUUUUGAAGACCCCUGGAAAGUACCUAGGCAUGUGUGUGUGUGUUUGUGUGUGUACACGUGCACCCACACGGAUGUAUCCUUGGGUCCAGGUGUCUCUGGCUCAACUGUGAGGCUUGGCAGGGCUGGGCGCCACUUCGCAGAGCCAGGGGACUGAGGGGCCGGUGGUCAGGAGCAGGGUCCUUUAGGUUCAGUGCUUGCCCCGCGGGGUCUCAGCCUCUUGACAAAUCGGCGGAAGGCACAUGUGUAGCCUUUUGCUCAAAAAUAGUCCACAGUGUGAGCAGGUGCGCAGAGUUCGUUGAAUUCCCCCCAAAUGAGUCACUCUGAAGGUGUGAAGGAGGCGCACGGUUUAAGGAGUUACCACUUCCUGGUUCCACACAGGGACCCCGUCGUUCAGGCCAGACCAGGCACCCAUGCUGGGAGAGGGCCAGGCGGCAGCAGCGGCUGUGCCUUUUUUCUCUCCCUACAAAGCCUCCACCCCAUCUCUUUGUCUCCGGAAGUGACUGCUUCUUCCCGGAGGGAGACAGCAGCAGCCUCCUUCCCUGCGACCCACUCGCUCACCAUCCAAAGAAAACCCCACCCAAAGUGCAGUGGAGCCCACACGGGGUCUUCCGGGGAACACGGGCGCCCGCCCGGUGAAGGGGGCCAUCCCCUCUCCCUGAUUAUUCCAGCGAGCGCGUGGGACAGCCUUGAUCCCCUCCCCGCCCCAGAAAUUCUCUCUGCUGUGGGAUUCGGAGUUGGGACAAAUCUGGUUUUGAGUCUCAGUUGCAUCUCACCCUAAUUGUGUGAUGGGGCUUCAAAACGCACAUGGAACGAGGCUGUUCCAAAGUCUAGGCGGGCUUGCCACCCGCUCUGCAUCCUGGUCGUGCGCAAGGGACAGUGGCAGCACGUGUGCGCCCCAUGCUUUUGGGUCUGUCAUGCUCACGUUCUCAGCUCUCCUGAGCCUAGCCAGGCGCAUGCGGCCGUGGGCGGCGGCGUGGGAGGGGCAUCCCAGAGAAGGAAAGGGAAGAGGCCUUCCGAGCACCGAGCAGAGGCCCCCAGACUCAGUGCAGCCGGGUGCUCACCCUGCUCUGUUAGAAUUGAUCAGGGGUGGGCAUGUGGCACCGUGGUGAAGACGUCAACUGGGACACCCACGUCCACAUUAGAGAACCUGGUUCAAGUCCCAGCUUAGCUGCCAAUUCCGGUUCUUGCUAAUGCAGACCCUGGGAGGCAGCAAAGGACGGCCCAAGCACUUGGGUCUCUGCCUCCCACAUGGGAGACCCAGAGAGUUCCUGGCUCCCUGCUGCAGCCCCUGCUGGGGCCCACUGAGGGCCAUUUGGGAGUGAACCAGGGGAUAGGAGCUCUCUCUCUCCCUCUGCCUCUCAAAUAAACAAAUAAGUAAUGUUAGGAUUAAUUUAUCUAUUUGAAAGGCAAAAGAGAGAGAGAGAGAGAGAGAGAGAGAGAGAAUCUUCCAUCUGCUGCUUUGCUCCCAAACAGCCAAGAAGUCACAAGUACUUGACCCAUCCUCUGCACAUUAGCAGGGAGCUGGACUGGAAGUGGAGCAGCCUGGGCUCAAGCUGCCGCUCCAGUAUGGGAUGUGGGAGUCACGGGUGGGAGAGUUAAGAUACAGAAAGCACGGAAGCAGUGGGUACUGGAGCAGGUGCAGAAAACUAAAGAAAGAGACACGUUGUGGGGGGCGGGUGGGGAUCUACGGUGAGCACAGUGAAAUGGACAGAACUGUGCACUUUGCAUCCCAGCAUCGGUGCCUAUGAGCCCCCAGCCUCCUGAAACCAGCUGGGAAUGACAAGGAGGGACCUGGAUGGAUGGAGGGGAGGAGCUUGGCCUCGCCCUCAUUAGGGGAACGCGCUACAGGAGAAGGGGUCCGGGAGAUAACUGCUGUCUGCCACAAAGGACAAAUCAGAGCACGCAUGUGUCCACCUGACUGGGUCCCAAGGCGCCCAUGUGAAACUCCUUCUGGGGGUCUGUGAGGGUGCUUCCUAGAGACCAGCACCUGGCCUGGUGGACUCAGUAAGCAGCAGCUCAUCUGCAGAGCGGGGCGUCCAGGCCUCGCUGGUUGGCCUGGGAAGGCUCAUCGCCAGGUUCCCCUGAAUGGCACCUCCGGGGCCCACAGUCUACAGGGGGCCGAUCCCACGCUUCUCAGCCCACACCGAUACAUGCACCGAGUCCACGUGGUAACUCGAUCUCACUCUCCCUCUAUGAACACAUGCACACUCACCUACGUGUGCAUAUGUACAUGUGUGUUUAUAUGUACAUAUGUGUGUGCAUUCGUGUGUGCCUGGACACAUAUGUGCAGAUAUGGCCGUGCACUUCUCAGCUCUGUUUCUCUGGAGGACCCUAACGGACCCACUGAUGCAGGAAUGAUUGAACAAGGGGAGGGCUGCGCGUGUCGCCCUGUGGUGUGCGAGUCUGCUCCAGCAGACCUGGGCUCAGCAAGUGCCGAUUUACCGAAACGGCCACUCACUCCCGCGCAGCUCCGACGCCAGGCUGGGGCACUGAACGUGCUGCCUGAACAGCGUUGUUUCGUAGCCACGGUCAGAGGGCUUCAGGGGAGUCUGUACCACCUCGUCAGCAGCGCUUUGUCCUGCUGUGUUUACUGGUAACGGUGAGGUUGAUCACUGGUGUCUGGCUUUGAUGGGAGCCCUGGAGGACGCUGCUGUUGGGGGGGGGAGAAAGCAAGGAACCUGCCUCCGUGAACACAAGGCGCAGGCCCUGGGGGGGCCCAAGGAGGGCUGUGACACGGCUGCGGUGCGAGAGAAAGUGUGCCCCGCGUGGACUUCCAGAGCGGGGGCAGCCGGCAUUUUCACUGGUCUCUCUGCCUCCCUCGCUCACUGCACCGCACUAAAUGGCUGCAGCGGCUUUGUCGGCGUGGAUCUUCUCUAGUGAUCACUGCUCAUGCAAGCGGCACAGUAAGCAGCUGUGGCUUUCUUUAAAAAAUUGAUUUAUUUUAUUUAUUCUUAAGGCAGAGUUACAGAGAGAGAGGGAGAGGGAGAGACAGAGAGAGAGAGAGAGAGAGAGAGAGAGAGAGAGAGAUCUUCCACCUGCUGGUUCACUCCCUAAAUGUGCACAAAAAGUCAGGGUUGGGCCAGACUGAAUCCAGGGCCAGGAGCUUCUUCUGGGUCUCCCGCGUGGUGCAGGGGCCCAAGCACUUGGACCAUCUUCUUUCCCAGGCACAUUAGCAGGGAGCUGGAUUGUAAGUGGGGCUUCAAAUCAGCGCCCAUAUGGGAUGCCAGUGUUGCAGGCAGUGGUUUUACCCUGUAUGCCACAGCACUGGCCCCUGCACAUGGCAUGGUAACAGCUGUAGCUUUCUAAAAGGCACAAGGUCUACCCAUGUAGCCUGCAAGAAGGCCCAUGGUGUACAUAAAAUGAGCGAGGUAUAGACUAAUAUGGAAAACAUGUUUGUGUAAAUACACGAUUUCACCUCUAUUCCUUUUGAAUGUGUGGUGCUGGAUGGAGUUGUAGAAAAUUAGGGGGAAACAAGGAAGCAGGUGGAGCAAAUUGUAAGUGAUGGUUACCUUAGGGAGGGGUGUAUGGACUGCGAGAGUGGGGCCUAGAGGGUCAGACCCUUGCUAUGGUCUCAAUGUUUUUGUCCUCUCCAAAAUUCAUGUGGCA
Non-coding RNA from Oryctolagus cuniculus (rabbit), 5519 nucleotides. The record is from RefSeq and is a predicted model, not a curated record. NCBI's taxonomy places the organism in Eukaryota, Metazoa, Chordata, Mammalia, Lagomorpha, Leporidae.